Molecule: unclassified non-coding RNA, 349 nt
Filed under: soil metagenome
Description: partial contains 5.8S ribosomal RNA, internal transcribed spacer 2, and large subunit ribosomal RNA
Rfam family: 5.8S ribosomal RNA (bases 1-120)
Source: RNAcentral
GAUGAAGAACGUAGUGAAAUGCGAUAAGUAAUGUGAAUUGCAGAAUUCAGUGAAUCAUCGAAUCUUUGAACGCACAUUGCGCCCGCCAGUAUUCUGGCGGGCAUGCCUGUCCGAGCGUCAUUUCAACCCUCGCGCCCAUCUGGGCUGCGGUGUUGGGGACCGGCCUGCCCCCCCGGGGCGCGCCGCCCCCCAAAUUCAGUGGCGGUCUCGCUGCAGCCUCCCUUGCGUAGUAGCACACCUCGCACCGGAGCGCAGCGCGGCCACGCCGUAAAACCCCCGACCCCCAUGAGUUUGACCUCGGAUCAGGUAGGAAUACCCGCUGAACUUAAGCAUAUCAAUAAGCGGAGGA